GAGAAAAGAACGCAAUCCUACCGUUGAAUGGGCCGCACGGAUGUUAGCCUGGCUGAUUUUGUUGGCCGUAGUACAGCCCAUGUUCUGGAGAAGCUGUAAAAUGGGGUUUCGCCGCCGCCACGGCGGCCGGAAAUCGCCCAUGAGUAAAUCGCCAUGAGCUCUCCAGACCGGCGCCGGCGAGCGCCAUCCUCUCCUCCGUCUGAUUCGUCCCGACUCGAUGGCACCGCUCCAAUUUCCUCACCGCCGACGAGCUCAAUUACAGUGGUUACUUUGACUUCGGUGUGCCGCACUUUGGUGUGCUGGGAUAGAAGACAGGAUAGUAGGUGUUCAGCUCAAGCUGGUCCAGGAUUUGAUUGACAAGUGUCAAGUAGGAAGAAUGUCCAACGAUGAGCUCACUGGCAUCAACCUGUACAUUAACUGCUUGGAUGCCGGCCAAGCCUUGUGAAAGCAGGCUACAUGAGAGAUCAUUUUCAUGGAAAAAAUGAUGACUCCACAUCCACAAUCUGUGAUAGUGAUUCUGAAAUAUGAGUCAGAUUUACCUUGCUCGAAAAGUGAUACCGAGAAUCCAAUCAUUUGUGGAGUAAACAUUCACAAAUCGUCCAGCAACCAUCUGCGGAAAUGCAUGGCCAUCCAUACUAGUGAGAAGAUGACAUGGAGCAAGGUCAUAUACCCCCGGAGAUGGCCAUCAGCGUUCCUCCCGUCAAGGCGGCUGCGCCGAUGAUUCCUCCACGCUUCCAGUUCUCCCAUCUGCUUCUUGGUGACUCGCUUCCUUCUGACUGUUCUUCCUCUCUCGCUGCAGCCAUAGCAGAGCAAGCAACCAUUAUCUCGAUAGCUUCCUACAAUGCCAAAACGUUCGAUUACAAAAACAUAUAGUUUGUGUCCAUGACAAAACUGGUAGAGAGAUCACUGUUCUUAGCGUGUGCAUUUACAUGUACAACUAGGCUUUCUUUCUAUCCUAAUUUCACAUGGACGAGAAUGCUGUGCUGUUAUCCAAAAAAAAAAGAGAAUGCUGUGCUAAAUGUACCCUGUCAUGUGUUCUAGACUUCUAGCAUUUUCAUGAAAAAACUAAUCUAGUGAUCACAGAUAAUGAGACUACUGGACACUAUGGUCAUAAAACAUUUGAUGCUUAGGACAAGUUAGUCAAACUUCUUUUGAAACUUUGACCAUGAAUAAUUCCUCGAAAUUCCUAGUUAAAAAAUGGUGUAAGCAAAUUUCCCUUGAAUAGUAAUAUCGUAACAUUGAAACUUAUUGUAUUUUAUAAACUCAUUCUAACAAAAAAAUUAUAUGGUCAUAGUUUUACAAGUUUAGAAUCUUGUCCUAAACAUCAAAUCAAAUACUCCAUCCGUCCUAAAAUAUAAAUAAUUUUGGCUGGUUGUGACACAUUCUAGUAGUACGAAUCUGGACAUAGAUGUGUCCUAUCCUACUCCAAUACCUUAUAUUUUGGGACGGAUGGACUACCUAUGAUCAGAGGGAGUGUUAGUGAUCUUAUCUUGUAAGAAAAGCAAUGGAAUCUCUGGACAAA
Oryza sativa Japonica Group (Japanese rice) is the source of this 1522-nucleotide long non-coding RNA. RefSeq lists it as uncharacterized. NCBI's taxonomy places the organism in Eukaryota, Viridiplantae, Streptophyta, Magnoliopsida, Poales, Poaceae. The record is from RefSeq and is a predicted model, not a curated record.